RNAcentral lists this ribosomal RNA (253 nucleotides) under uncultured bacterium. RNAcentral describes it as "partial 16S ribosomal RNA". It matches the Rfam family "Bacterial small subunit ribosomal RNA", at positions 524 to 776 of the family's 1533-position model. The record is from RNAcentral.
UCCGAAGGGUGCAAGCGUUGUUCGGAAUCAUUGGGCGUAAAGCGCGCGCAGGCGGAUUAAUAAGUCAGGUGUGAAAUCCUGGGGCUCAACCCCAGAACUGCCCUUGAUACUGAGGAGCUUGAGUCCGGGAGAGGUGAGUGGAACUCCGAGUGUAGAGGUGAAAUUCGUAGAUAUUCGGAAGAACACCAGUGGCGAAGGCGGCUCACUGGCCCGGUACUGACGCUGAGGUGCGAAAGCGUGGGGAGAAAACAGG